RNAcentral lists this ribosomal RNA (506 nucleotides) under uncultured bacterium. RNAcentral describes it as "partial 16S ribosomal RNA". It matches the Rfam family "Bacterial small subunit ribosomal RNA", at positions 30 to 523 of the family's 1533-position model. The record is from RNAcentral.
AUUGAACGCUGGCGGCAGGCUUAACACAUGCAAGUCGAGCGGUAACAGAGAGAAGCUUGCUUCUCUGCUGACGAGCGGCGGACGGGUGAGUAAUGCCUAGGAAUCUGCCUAGUAGUGGGGGAUAACUUGCCGAAAGGUAAGCUAAUACCGCAUACGUCCUACGGGAGAAAGGAGGGGACCUUCGGGCCUUUCGCUAUUAGAUGAGCCUAGGUCGGAUUAGUUAGUUGGUGAGGUAAUGGCUCACCAAGACCGCGAUCCGUAGCUGGUCUGAGAGGAUGAUCAGUCACACUGGAACUGAGACACGGUCCAGAUUCCUACGGGAGGCAGCAGUGGGGAAUAUUGGACAAUGGGGGGAACCCUGAUCCAGCCAUGCCGCGUGUGUGAAGAAGGUCUUAGGAUUGUAAAGCACUUUAAGUUGGGAGGAAGAGCAGUUAACUAAUAUUUGACUGUUUUGACGUUACCGACAGAAUAAGCACCGGCUAACUUCGUGACAGCCGCCGCCGUAA